RNAcentral lists this ribosomal RNA (273 nucleotides) under uncultured bacterium. RNAcentral's name for it is "partial 16S ribosomal RNA". It matches the Rfam family "Bacterial small subunit ribosomal RNA", at positions 524 to 796 of the family's 1533-position model. The record is from RNAcentral.
GACGUAGGGCGCGAGCGUUGUCCGGAUUUAUUGGGCGUAAAGAGCUCGUAGGCGGCUCAUUGCGUCAACCGUGAAAACCAGCAGCUCAACUGUUGGCUUGCGGUUGAUACGGGUGGGCUGGAGUUCGGUAGGGGAGACUGGAAUUCCUGGUGUAGCGGUGAAAUGCGCAGAUAUCAGGAGGAACACCGGUGGCGAAGGCGGGUCUCUGGGCCGAUACUGACGCUGAGGAGCGAAAGCGUGGGGAGCGAACAGGAUUAGAAACCCCCGUAGUCC